Molecule: long non-coding RNA, 216 nt
Filed under: Homo sapiens (human)
Lineage: Eukaryota; Metazoa; Chordata; Mammalia; Primates; Hominidae
Description: HSALNT0290664
Source: RNAcentral
GAGGAGGUGCUUGAUGAUUGCUUGGUUGUGUUCCCAGAGGUUGCUGAAGGUCCCCCAGCGUGAGUGGCCAUCAGGGACUGGGUUGGCCUUGAUCCAGCCCCCACAGGCGUAGCUGAAGAAGUCAUGGCAGGGGUCCACUGUGGGGUCCAUGGAGCUCAAGAUGGAGCUGGUCACUGAGACACAAGCUUCGCUCAGGCACACAGAGGGGGAUCCUGG